GAUGAACGCUGGCGGCGUGCCUAAUACAUGCAAGUCGAGCGAACGGACGAGAAGCUUGCUUCUCUGAUGUUAGCGGCGGACGGGUGAGUAACACGUGGAUAACCAACCUUAAAAACUGGGAAAACUUCGGGAAACCGGGGCUAAUACCGGAGGAUAUUUUGAACCGCAUGGUUCAAAAGGGAAAGACGUUUUUGCUGCAACUUAUAGAUGGAUCCGCGCUGCAUUAGCUAGUUGGUAAGGUAACGGCUUACCAAGGCAACGAUGCAUAGCCGACCUGAGAGGGUGAUCGGCCACACUGGAACUGAGACACGGUCCAGACUCCUACGGGAGGCAGCAGUAGGGAAUCUUCCGCAAUGGGCGAAAGCCUGACGGAGCAACGCCGCGUGAGUGAUGAAGGUCUUCGGAUCGUAAAACUCUGUUAUUAGGGAAGAACAUAUGUGUAAGUAACUGUGCACAUCUUGACGGUACCUAAUCAGAAAGCCACGGCUAACUACGUG
This 497-nucleotide ribosomal RNA is filed under the name uncultured bacterium. RNAcentral describes it as "partial 16S ribosomal RNA". It matches the Rfam family "Bacterial small subunit ribosomal RNA", at positions 28 to 507 of the family's 1533-position model. The record is from RNAcentral.